Thalassophryne amazonica is the source of this 200-nucleotide long non-coding RNA. RefSeq lists it as uncharacterized. Lineage: Eukaryota; Metazoa; Chordata; Actinopteri; Batrachoidiformes; Batrachoididae. The transcript has 3 exons. The record is from RefSeq and is a predicted model, not a curated record.
UGCACAAAAACUAGAUAGUAAUAUUGGGUAUUCUGGUAAUGACUUUAUGUUAUAAUGUUAUAAUAAUAAUGAUGGUAUGUUACAAAUUUGCGACAACGGGCAUACAGGUCAAUUUGGUAAGUUGCGUAUUUGAGUCAGAGGUUGUAGCAUAUAUGCGCCGAUGGACGUUAAGGGGUUAAAACUGACUGUCUGCUGAGAGC